CCCUUAGAUGUUCUGGGCCGCACGCGCGCUACACUGAUGCAUUCAACGAGCCUAUCCUUGACCGACAGGUCCGGGUAAUCUUUGAAUCUGCAUCGUGACGGGGAUAGAUUAUUGCAAUUAUUAAUCUUCAACGAGGAAUGCCUAGUAGGCGCAAGUCAUCAGCUUGCGUCGAUUACGUCCCUGCCCUUUGUACACACCGCCCGUCGCUCCUACCGAUUGGGUGUGCUGGUGAAAUGUUCGGAUCGGCCGUCUGUCGCGGUUUCCGCGUCAUGUGGCUGAGAAGUUCAUUAAACCCUCCCACCUAGAGGAAGGAGAAGUCGUAACA
RNAcentral lists this ribosomal RNA (325 nucleotides) under uncultured eukaryote. RNAcentral describes it as "partial 18S ribosomal RNA". It matches the Rfam family "Eukaryotic small subunit ribosomal RNA", at positions 1470 to 1796 of the family's 1831-position model. The record is from RNAcentral.